CCUAACUGUCCCUGGCAGCUGAGAUUUGCAUUGUCCUAGAAUAGCCCGUUGCUUUCUCCACGCUUCUAGAAAUCAUCCAAGUAGAAGGCAAUUUUCAGAGUGUUAGCUCUAUCCUGAAAGGCUGAUCACAAAUAGGUUGUGUGCCAGCAGAAGUAAGGAGGAGACUGCACACUUGCUUUCAUGAGCUGCACGAACUACUGAAAUAGAGACGUUAGGUGUGCUAUCUGUUGCCUCCUAAGAUACAGCAUUCUUCGUGGGUGGCAGGAAUUGCUUAUCAAAAUAUUAUUGUUCAAUCAAUCUUCUAAGCAGCCUCAGUUUCUACAAGAAUAUGACUCCUCAUUUUAGAAGUUAAAGGAUUUUGCUCAUCAGUUUAAGGUGUAUCGUAUUCUGUGUGAUGGUUGUCCCAGCUAAUCUUAAUCAUCUUCCGUGGAUUAAGAGGUUCCUGGAGAGGUCAUUGGUGGCGCACUAUUCCUCAGUGGGUUAGUCCACUGCUGUUCAUAGCCCAAUGUGCCAUUGGGGUGAGGCCCAGCUGGAGGAGGAGGUCACUGGUGACUGCUGUCCCAUCGGAAGGUCUGUCUCUCCCUGGUGCUCUCCCCUUGAGCUCUGCUUCUUGGACUGUCAUGAAGUAAACAGCUCUGCUCCACCACGUCUUUCUCCCAUGAUGUUUCUACCUUGGAGCCAGCUCAUCAUGGACUGAAACCUUGGAAACCGUGAGC
Heterocephalus glaber (naked mole-rat) is the source of this 716-nucleotide long non-coding RNA. The record is from Ensembl. Lineage: Eukaryota; Metazoa; Chordata; Mammalia; Rodentia; Bathyergidae.